Long non-coding RNA from Oncorhynchus tshawytscha (Chinook salmon), 725 nucleotides. NCBI's taxonomy places the organism in Eukaryota, Metazoa, Chordata, Actinopteri, Salmoniformes, Salmonidae. The record is from Ensembl.
UUCUCUUCGUCCUGAGAAUUGCUAUGAAGCUAGAUAACAUGCUAAUGCUGUGUUCUGAACAUAGUUUUACAAGUUUAGUCGACAUAUAAUAUGUAAUUUCGACGUUUUGGUGCGCACCCACUUGGCUUUUGGCUGCAUUUCAACCGAAAUGUGUCGUGUUUGAUCACCGAAAGACACAGACUUCCAAACUAAAGCUGUUUUUGGGUGGCCUUGGCUAGGCCGGCGGAGCAGUAGAAGAAGCCGUCCAUGAAAGACGGAGCAUCAGACGGAGAACUGGUCUCUGAGGUCAACUCCAGCUUGGGGAAAUCAACACAGAGACACGGAGAAAGACACUCCAAGGCAUAGCAAUUGGUCUCUGCUAUGUCUCCCACCAGUCCCUCUGUCAGAAACAACUUGUAGCACUCUGCCUCAGCUGGAAAUGGCAAGGGGCGUUGCACUCCAGACUGGGACUCAAAGAAAACAGCAGGGCCAGGAGGGGUGAAAUGGCUGGCAGCCUUCUAGCUACCACAGAACUCCUGUACUUCAUCCACUGUCGGUCUGCCUCCAUCACCACCAGCAUUUUCAAAGUGAACUGGGACUUCGUCAGUGGACAAUGGGUCCUCAGGUUCAGGGUUCUCAAUGGCUACAAGAUUGGGGGGCAGCUCUUCACUGUCACUGUCAGAAUCGGAUUCAUGACUUUCAGACUCAUUGUCAGAAUAAAAUUAAAAAUCUCCAGAUUUUCCGCA